Molecule: small RNA, 524 nt
Filed under: Arabidopsis thaliana (thale cress)
Lineage: Eukaryota; Viridiplantae; Streptophyta; Magnoliopsida; Brassicales; Brassicaceae
Description: ATSL117250
Source: RNAcentral
UUAAACGAAGAUAAUCCAAGCAAAAUUUCAGGUGAAGAAGAAGCGUUGGAUCGGAUCAUUAAUAGGUCGGCGGGUUCGGGUUACUUUUUGAUAAUUUUGGUUUAGUUUUGGUUAAAGUUUGUUUUCAAAUGGUUAAGACUGAAUUGGUGUACAUUAAACCGACAAAAACCAGAUAUAUGUGCUAAUAGAUCUCGAAGUAUUAAUUUGGGGAGAUUUAGCUAUAGAACUUACGUUUCGGAGAGAAAUAGGUUUAAAACUUUGUUUUCAUGGACAUGUAGACCGGGGUUGAAGUUUGGGCUCUAUCUGGCAUGAUGCGGUAUUUCUUGUGGGGAAAUAGACCGUUUUUCCGGUUUUAAUAGAUAUGAUUCAUUUCCGGUGGGGUACGGAUUUGUCUAAACAAGAUUUGUAGACCGAAGAAAAAUAUAUAGCAUUUGGAUCUUUGUAAAAAUUAAGAAUGUAAAUGAACAAAUAAAUAGAAAAUGUAUGUAUUUUUCUAGAGUUCUUGUAUUUCUUGACUAUCAUUU